ACUGAACGCUGGCGGCAGGCUUAACACAUGCAAGUCGAGCGGAGCGGCGGACGGGUGAGUAAUGUCUAGGAAUCUGCAUGGUAGCGGGGGAAAACGUCCGGAAACGGGCGCCAAUAACGCAGACUAUCAGAUGAGCAUAGGUCGGAUUAGCAGGUUGGUGGGGUAAAGGCCUACCAAGGCGAAGGUCCGUAACUGGUCUGAGAGGAUGAUCAGUCACUCUGGAAUUGAGACACAGUCCAGACUCCUACGGGAGGCAGAAGUGGGGAAUAUUAGACAAUGGGCGAAAGCCUGAUCCAGCCAUGCCGCGUGUGUGAAGAAGCUCUUCGGAUUGUAAAGCACUUUAAGUUGAGAGGCGUUACCAGCAGAGUAAGCACCGGCUAACUUCGUGCCAGCAGCCGCGGUAAUUC
RNAcentral lists this ribosomal RNA (407 nucleotides) under uncultured bacterium. RNAcentral describes it as "partial 16S ribosomal RNA". It matches the Rfam family "Bacterial small subunit ribosomal RNA", at positions 30 to 526 of the family's 1533-position model. The record is from RNAcentral.